Myotis lucifugus (little brown bat) is the source of this 118-nucleotide ribosomal RNA. NCBI's taxonomy places the organism in Eukaryota, Metazoa, Chordata, Mammalia, Chiroptera, Vespertilionidae. The record is from Ensembl.
AUCUUUAGCCAUACCAAACUAAACACACCCAAUCUCCUCUGAUCUGGGAAACUCAGCAGGGUCAGGCCUGGUAAUUACUUGGAUGGGAGACUGUUGGUAAUACUGGGCACUAUAGACU